This 262-nucleotide long non-coding RNA is filed under the name Elaeis guineensis (African oil palm). RNAcentral's name for it is "long non-coding RNA (EGUI_LNC033390)". The record is from RNAcentral. Lineage: Eukaryota; Viridiplantae; Streptophyta; Magnoliopsida; Arecales; Arecaceae.
AUCUUAAUUCUAGAUAAGGAUAUUAAGUUUUUCAUCAAAACUUUAACUGCUCUUGACUCAAUCAAUUUAUCUCAAGAUCAUAAACAAACUCUAAUCUGCUCUUAGUAAAUGAACAAUCUCAUAAUCUUUUUAUCAUAAGAGGAGUAUAAGCUUCAAAUUUAGAAGAAAAAAAAUCUGCCCACAAAUAUUCCAACUCUAAGAUAAAAAAUUGAUGGUCCACUAAUUAAAGACUUAGGAUGCUAGAAAAAUUUUCUUAACAUGG